Long non-coding RNA from Oncorhynchus tshawytscha (Chinook salmon), 1165 nucleotides. Lineage: Eukaryota; Metazoa; Chordata; Actinopteri; Salmoniformes; Salmonidae. The record is from Ensembl.
CGCGUUGUUAUCGUGGUCACGUCAGAUAGCAUUGUCCUACAAAACGCUAAAGCUUAUUAAACAACUUUACACAGGACAAAUGGUAUCGUGUUUAUCCGUUGAAUCAAAACAGAAGACGGUUAUUUGUUAAGGCUUAACGAAAAAAAAAAAGGUCGCGCGAAGAUUGUGUACGAUUAUAGCUAGUAGCUAACGUUAGCUAGGUUACGAAGCCAAAUAUCUGCAUAAAGUUACUGCAUGAAGUUACUUAACAGGGACAACAUGUCUAGCCUUAACAGUCGCAAUAUUUUCGAGAAAGAAACAACGUCGAUUAUGACUUUUAUCGUUGAGACGGCAGUAGCAGAAAUUAGCCAACUGUUUUUGGACAACGAAUCAAUCGCGGCGCCAAUACCAAGUAACCUGGGAAAAAAGAAACAGGUUGGCACCAUUAUGCACCUUUUGACAAAGGAGGCUGUUCGUAAAAUCUGUAGACUAUUCCUAGAAGUCUCUGCGGCUUUACAAAAUGAAAAUGAGAAGCUGAAGAUCAAGGUGGAGCAGAUGGAUAAAGAUCUGAAGGCGAUGGUUGAGAAGGGUGAGGGGCGAGAAGAACCGAAAAGACCAACCCAUAUUCUGCACAAUGGAACGAUCUUUAAAAUUAAGCCAGUUGAUCUCCCAAUGAUGCCUGUUAACAAUGUGAAGACAAACACAGUGGCCUCAGCAUUGCUCAGCAUGGGAGAUGUCAGUCAAGUAAACACUGUCAUCGUACAGGAAGAGACUACUGCGAGAAAUACAGGCUCUAGCACCGACCCUGUGAAGGAGAGGAGUGAGGUGAAAUCAGGAACUAAAACGUCAGUCAUUGAAGGUAAUAUCCCAAAGAAACAAAACUGGAUGUUUCAAGUACACAACUAUGCUUAAACCACAACAAUAGACCACUUUUCAAAUCAAAUCAAAUUUUAUUUGUCACAUACACAUGGUUAGCAGAUAUUAAUGCGAGUGUAGCGAAAUGCUUGUGCUUCUAGUUCCGACAAUGCAGUAAUAACCAACAAGUAAUCUAACUAACAAUUCCAAAACUACUGUCUUAUACACAGUGUAAGGGGAUAAAGAAUAUGUACAUAAGGAUAUAUGAAUGAGUGAUGGUACAGAGCGGCAUAGGCAAGAUACAGUAGAUGAUAUCGAGUACAGUAUAUAC